RNAcentral lists this ribosomal RNA (802 nucleotides) under uncultured bacterium. RNAcentral describes it as "bacterial SSU rRNA". It matches the Rfam family "Bacterial small subunit ribosomal RNA", at positions 64 to 878 of the family's 1533-position model. The record is from RNAcentral.
GAGCGGAGAUAUAUGGAGCUUGCUUUAUAUAACUUAGCAGCGAACGGGUGAGUAACACGUAGAUAAUCUAUCCUAUACUGGGGGAUAGCCCGAUGAAAGUUGGAUUAAUACCGCAUAUAGCUAUAUAGUUGCAUGAUUAUGUAGUGAAAGAUUUAUUGGUAUAGGAGGAGUCUGCGGCACAUUAGCUAGUAGGUGAGGUAAAGGCUUACCUAGGCGACGAUGUGUAGCCGGUCUGAGAGGAUGAACGGCCACAAUGGAACUGAGACACGGUCCAUACUCCUACGGGAGGCAGCAGUGGGGAAUAUUGCACAAUGGGGGAAACCCUGAUGCAGCAACGCCGCGUGAGUGAAGAAGGUUUUCGGAUUGUAAAGCUCUGUUAGCAGGGAAGAGGAAGGACGGUACCUGCAGAGGAAGCCACGGCUAACUACGUGCCAGCAGCCGCGGUAAUACGUAGGUGGCAAGCGUUGUUCGGAAUAACUGGGCGUAAAGGAUGCGUAGGCGGUUAAACAAGUUAUGUGUUAAAUAUAUAGGCUUAACCUGUAGAAAGCAUAUAAAACUGUUUAACUAGAGUGCAGGAGAGGUAAGUGGAAUUCCUAGUGUAGCGGUGAAAUGCGUAGAGAUUAGGAAGAACACCAGUGGCGAAGGCGACUUACUGGACUGUAACUGACGCUGAGGCAUGAGAGCAUGGGGAGCAAACAGGAUUAGAUACCCUGGUAGUCCAUGCUGUAAACGAUGGGUACUAGGUGUGGGUUGUGAAUAACAAUUCGUGCCGUCGCAAACGCAAUAAGUACCCCGCCUGAGG